RNAcentral lists this ribosomal RNA (468 nucleotides) under uncultured bacterium. RNAcentral's name for it is "partial 16S ribosomal RNA". It matches the Rfam family "Bacterial small subunit ribosomal RNA", at positions 28 to 507 of the family's 1533-position model. The record is from RNAcentral.
GACGAACGCUGGCGGCGUGCUUAACACAUGCAAGUCGAACGGAAAGGCCCUGCUUUUGUGGGGUGCUCGAGUGGCGAACGGGUGAGUAACACAUGAGUAACCUGCCCUUGACUUUGGGAUAACUUCAGGAAACUGGGGCUAAUACCGGAUAGGAGCUCCUGCUGCAUGGUGGGGGUUGGAAAGUUUCGGCGGUUGGGGAUGGACUCGCGGCUUAUCAGCUUGUUGGUGGGGUAGUGGCUUACCAAGGCUUUGACGGGUAGCCGGCCUGAGAGGGUGACCGGCCACAUUGGGACUGAGAUACGGCCCAGACUCCUACGGGGGGCAGCAGUGGGGAAUAUUGCACAAUGGGCGGAAGCCUGAUGCAGCAACGCCGCGUGCGGGAUGACGGCCUUCGGGUUGUAAACCGCUUUCGCCUGUGACGAAGCGUGAGUGACGGUAAUGGGUAAAGAAGCACCGGCUAACUACGUG